Molecule: ribosomal RNA, 3028 nt
Filed under: Salmonella enterica subsp. enterica serovar Typhimurium var. 5-
Lineage: Bacteria; Pseudomonadati; Pseudomonadota; Gammaproteobacteria; Enterobacterales; Enterobacteriaceae
Description: 23S ribosomal RNA
Rfam family: Bacterial large subunit ribosomal RNA
Source: RNAcentral
GGGUUGUGAGGUUAAGCGACUAAGCGUACACGGUGGAUGCCCUGGCAGUCAGAGGCGAUGAAGGGCGUGCUAAUCUGCGAUAAGCGCCGGUAAGGUGAUAUGAACCGUUAUAACCGGCGAUACCCGAAUGGGGAAACCCAGUGUGACUCGUCACACUAUCAUUAACUGAAUCCAUAGGUUAAUGAGGCGAACCGGGGGAACUGAAACAUCUAAGUACCCCGAGGAAAAGAAAUCAACCGAGAUUCCCCCAGUAGCGGCGAGCGAACGGGGAGGAGCCCAGAGCCUGAAUCAGCAUGUGUGUUAGUGGAAGCGUCUGGAAAGGCGCGCGAUACAGGGUGACAGCCCCGUACACAAAAGCGCAUGUGCUGUGAGCUCGAUGAGUAGGGCGGGACACGUGGUAUCCUGUCUGAAUAUGGGGGGACCAUCCUCCAAGGCUAAAUACUCCUGACUGACCGAUAGUGAACCAGUACCGUGAGGGAAAGGCGAAAAGAACCCCGGGAGGGGAGUGAAAAAGAACCUGAAACCGUGUACGUACAAGCAGUGGGAGCCCCACCACCAAAGCAUUCUCUGGUGUUGAAGGCCCUGCAAAGCAGCAUCGCGGUGGCGGAGCGUCGUUUGCGACGCCCAACACACAAAACAAGCGGUGAAUGCUUUGGGGUGGGGUGACUGCGUACCUUUUGUAUAAUGGGUCAGCGACUUAUAUUCUGUAGCAAGGUUAACCGAAUAGGGGAGCCGGAGGGAAACCGAGUCUUAAUUGGGCGUUAAGUUGCAGGGUAUAGACCCGAAACCCGGUGAUCUAGCCAUGGGCAGGUUGAAGGUUGGGUAACACUAACUGGAGGACCGAACCGACUAAUGUUGAAAAAUUAGCGGAUGACCUGUGGCUGGGGGUGAAAGGCCAAUCAAACCGGGAGAUAGCUGGUUCUCCCCGAAAGCUAUUUAGGUAGCGCCUCGUGAAUUCAUCUCCGGGGGUAGAGCACUGUUUCGGCUAGGGGGCCAUCCCGGCUUACCAACCCGAUGCAAACUGCGAAUACCGGAGAAUGUUAUCACGGGAGACACACGGCGGGUGCUAACGUCCGUCGUGAAGAGGGAAACAACCCAGACCGCCAGCUAAGGUCCCAAAGUCAUGGUUAAGUGGGAAACGAUGUGGGAAGGCCCAGACAGCCAGGAUGUUGGCUUAGAAGCAGCCAUCAUUUAAAGAAAGCGUAAUAGCUCACUGGUCGAGUCGGCCUGCGCGGAAGAUGUAACGGGGCUAAACCAUGCACCGAAGCUGCGGCAGCGACGCUGAUGCGUUGUUGGGUAGGGGAGCGUUCUGUAAGCCUGCGAAGGUGACCUGUGAGGGUUGCUGGAGGUAUCAGAAGUGCGAAUGCUGACAUAAGUAACGAUAAAGCGGGUGAAAAGCCCGCUCGCCGGAAGACCAAGGGUUCCUGUCCAACGUUAAUCGGGGCAGGGUGAGUCGACCCCUAAGGCGAGGCCGAAAGGCGUAGUCGAUGGGAAACGGGUUAAUAUUCCCGUACUUGGUGUUACUGCGAAGGGGGGACGGAGAAGGCUAUGUUGGCCGGGCGACGGUUGUCCCGGUUUAAGCGUGUAGGUGUGUGUUCCAGGUAAAUCCGGUUCACUUUAACACUGAGGCGUGAUGACGAGGCACUACGGUGCUGAAGCAACAAAUGCCCUGCUUCCAGGAAAAGCCUCUAAGCAUCAGGUAACAUCAAAUCGUACCCCAAACCGACACAGGUGGUCAGGUAGAGAAUACCAAGGCGCUUGAGAGAACUCGGGUGAAGGAACUAGGCAAAAUGGUGCCGUAACUUCGGGAGAAGGCACGCUGACACGUAGGUGAAGUGAUUUACUCACGGAGCUGAAGUCAGUCGAAGAUACCAGCUGGCUGCAACUGUUUAUUAAAAACACAGCACUGUGCAAACACGAAAGUGGACGUAUACGGUGUGACGCCUGCCCGGUGCCGGAAGGUUAAUUGAUGGGGUCAGCGCAAGCGAAGCUCCUGAUCGAAGCCCCGGUAAACGGCGGCCGUAACUAUAACGGUCCUAAGGUAGCGAAAUUCCUUGUCGGGUAAGUUCCGACCUGCACGAAUGGCGUAAUGAUGGCCAGGCUGUCUCCACCCGAGACUCAGUGAAAUUGAACUCGCUGUGAAGAUGCAGUGUACCCGCGGCAAGACGGAAAGACCCCGUGAACCUUUACUAUAGCUUGACACUGAACAUUGAGCCUUGAUGUGUAGGAUAGGUGGGAGGCUUUGAAGUGUGGACGCCAGUCUGCAUGGAGCCGACCUUGAAAUACCACCCUUUAAUGUUUGAUGUUCUAACGUGGACCCGUAAUCCGGGUUGCGGACAGUGUCUGGUGGGUAGUUUGACUGGGGCGGUCUCCUCCUAAAGAGUAACGGAGGAGCACGAAGGUUGGCUAAUCCUGGUCGGACAUCAGGAGGUUAGUGCAAUGGCAUAAGCCAGCUUGACUGCGAGCGUGACGGCGCGAGCAGGUGCGAAAGCAGGUCAUAGUGAUCCGGUGGUUCUGAAUGGAAGGGCCAUCGCUCAACGGAUAAAAGGUACUCCGGGGAUAACAGGCUGAUACCGCCCAAGAGUUCAUAUCGACGGCGGUGUUUGGCACCUCGAUGUCGGCUCAUCACAUCCUGGGGCUGAAGUAGGUCCCAAGGGUAUGGCUGUUCGCCAUUUAAAGUGGUACGCGAGCUGGGUUUAGAACGUCGUGAGACAGUUCGGUCCCUAUCUGCCGUGGGCGCUGGAGAACUGAGGGGGGCUGCUCCUAGUACGAGAGGACCGGAGUGGACGCAUCACUGGUGUUCGGGUUGUCAUGCCAAUGGCACUGCCCGGUAGCUAAAUGCGGAAGAGAUAAGUGCUGAAAGCAUCUAAGCACGAAACUUGCCCCGAGAUGAGUUCUCCCUGAGACUUAGAGUCUCCUGAAGGAACGUUGAAGACGACGACGUUGAUAGGCCGGGUGUGUAAGCGCAGCGAUGCGUUGAGCUAACCGGUACUAAUGAACCGUGAGGCUUAACCUUACAACGCCGAAG